Molecule: long non-coding RNA, 346 nt
Organism: Mustela erminea (ermine)
Lineage: Eukaryota; Metazoa; Chordata; Mammalia; Carnivora; Mustelidae
Exons: 3
Source: RefSeq, a predicted model, not a curated record
UCCUCCUGCAGAAGGGAAACGAUUUAAAACCUUCCCCUCCCCCACUUCACCUCUUCAGUUCUUGCACUCAAGGAUGUGGCUAUACGUGCCAGGUGACAUGCAAACUAAGGUGAAAUCCUAUACCCCAAAUCACAGCCUUUUGCCACCUCUCUUUUCCAGUUGGCCAAUGUCACAGCAAAUUCAGUGCCUUGGCCAAGUGCUUGGCACUUCUAAGUGUCUGAGAGUGGCAGGUCCCUGGGAAGAACUGGUGCUUCUAUCUAAGGAAAAGCACCACAUAGCCAACGAGAACAUUUAGUUAGUAACUUACCAUCAAAUAUAUCCACCAUUCUGAAGAAAGCCAGUGAUA